CAGGUUCAACUCCUGCCUCUACCU
Molecule: transfer RNA, 24 nt
Filed under: Onkoisis magnifica
Lineage: Eukaryota; Metazoa; Cnidaria; Anthozoa; Scleralcyonacea; Keratoisididae
Description: partial tRNA-Met
Source: RNAcentral